This 1389-nucleotide ribosomal RNA is filed under the name Triticum aestivum (bread wheat). Its description in RNAcentral is "partial small subunit ribosomal RNA". The record is from RNAcentral. Lineage: Eukaryota; Viridiplantae; Streptophyta; Magnoliopsida; Poales; Poaceae.
AUGAGAGAUUCUGAAGAGGAAGAGGAAGAAGAGGUUGCUGCACCAGCACCUAAGGCCCAGAAGCUUAUGGGUGAUGCUAUCAGGAUAGGGGCUGCUUCAUCAAAGCCCAAAGAAGCACCCAAAGCAACCUCCAAGCCCAAGAGUGCACCUAAGAGGAAUACCAGGAGUAUACCAGCUGCUGAGAAGAACAAGGCCCCAGUGCCUGAAGUUGCUGCUGAUGAAGAUGAUGAAGGACAAGUCCUGAGAAAGCUCAAACCCAAGAUUCCAGACCACAAUGAUGCUCAUCCUGUGGCUGAGAACAUGAAGAUCAGGAGAGACUCGGGGUUGAGGUUAUGGAGAGAGACAGAUCCAUAUGCUACCAGGAUAAGGACUACUGUUGAUUACAGGUUCCACACAAAGGAACAACAGGACUUCUAUGAGACAGUGUUGUUGGACAAGAAGCCUAUAGUGUGUGAAAUGAGGUGGGUUGACUGGAAGUAUAUCAAGGAAAAUGAGGAACACUAUCCUGGUGUGUUUGACAGCUUCAGUGCUUGUGGAGUUGCAGACUUUGUUGGGCAGAAGCUCACAAAGUGGAAUGAGGAGCUCAUAAUGCAAUUCUACUCCACAGCACACUUCUAUCCAGAUGGCAGGAUAGUAUGGAUGUCUGAAGGUAUAAGGUACAACUCAACUAUCGAGGAAUGGGCAAAUCUGAUCAAUGCUCCUAAGGAAGAAGAAGAUGACUUGGAUGUCUAUGCCAAGAAGAAGAUGGAUCACAACUCUAUGGCAAACAUGUACAAGGAGAUUCCUGAAGAUGAUCUUGAGACUCACCAGUUUGGGUCAGUAAAACACUUGCUGUCAGGGCUGCCUACAAUCAAUUGGAUCCUUAGGCACACUCUCUUGCCCAAGUCUGGUGAUCAUAGAAUGAUCAGAGGCCAUGCAAUUAACUUGCUACAUAUAUUUGAUGUGCCACAUAAGUUCAAGGUCAUGAGCCUUAUAGUUGAGACUAUCAAGAGGAUUGCAGCUGACCAGAAAAGAAGUUGUGGAUAUGCCCCACAAAUCCAGAAGUUGAUAAACUCAAAGAUGGGCACAGGCACAUACCUGUUGGAUAAGGAACACUUGCCUAUCUACCCAGACUUCAAGGACAAUCAAGUUGUGAUGAAUGAGAAUGAACCAUCAUCAGUACAAGCUCAAGAGAAGAAGGAGAAAGCAAAGAAAGAGAAGGCUGCCAAGAUGCCAACUCAAGAGGAGGCAUUUGAGUACUUUUUGAAAAGCAAGAAAGAUCAGCUUGGCUACCUGAUUGCAUCCACUCUGAGGAUUGAGAAGGGACUGGCCACCCUGACUCAAAACCAGGAGAGCUUGGAAAGAAUCGUGGAGCAAAAAUUCUAUGACUUGGAUGUUAAGGUAACUUAG